GACGAACGCUGGCGGCGUGCUUAACACAUGCAAGUCGAACGGAAAGGCCCUGCUUUUGUGGGGUGCUCGAGUGGCGAACGGGUGAGUAACACGUGAGUAACCUGCCCUUGACUUUGGGAUAACUUCAGGAAACUGGGGCUAAUACCGGAUAGGAGCUCCUGCUGCAUGGUGGGGGCUGGAAAGUUUCGGCGGUUGGGGAUGGACUCGCGGCUUAUCAGCUUGUUGGUGGGGUAGUGGCUUACCAAGGCUUUGACGGGUAGCCGGCCUGAGAGGGUGACCGGCCACAUUGGGACUGAGAUACGGCCCAGACUCCUACGGGAGGCAGCAGUGGGGAAUAUUGCACAAUGGGCGGAAGCCUGAUGCAGCAACGCCGCGUGCGGGAUGACGGCCUUCGGGUUGUAAACCGCUUUCGCCUGUGACGAAGCGUGAGUGACGGUAAUGGGUAAAGAAGCACCGGCCAACUACGUG
Molecule: ribosomal RNA, 468 nt
Filed under: uncultured bacterium
Lineage: Bacteria
Description: partial 16S ribosomal RNA
Rfam family: Bacterial small subunit ribosomal RNA
Source: RNAcentral